UGGAAUAAAAGGCAGAAAGAAAGAUGGCAGUAAUUGUAAUAUCCUGAGAUUUUUUAGCUCAGCCAAAAAUUCCUGCCAUUGAGCAAGUUUCACAGGGCUGCCACUGACUCGCUGCAGGACACAUACAAUCUGAUCAAGUUCAGAGACGCGCUGAGUGCUUCAAGCGGCGCUUUUAAACUCCAAGCCAUUCACAUCCUUUCCCCCUCAGUCUGUCCCAGGAAGGAGCUUACAUUCUUUAUUUUAAGGGAUCUGGACCAAAAAAUCUUCAAAUCAGUCCUUCAUUCUGCUUUCGCCCUCACCCUACCGCAUUCACCCCAGAACAUUUCCUCGAGAAAGAGUUAUAGAUUGAAAAGGUCCUCUUGUUCCUCCGUCUCAUCUAUCUCUACCCCUGCAGCUCCUGGCUAUCUUCACCCUCUAUGGCUCCUUCAUGAUGGCCCCCUAAUCUCUGCCAGUGUGGUUCCAUGAAUUCUUCCUUUCCUUUACACAAGGUUUCUCUCUGCCAGCAGCCUGCACACUGAGGCCGUCGAGCCAUUAAUGAGCCCCAGCUCCGAUAAUGAAGACACAGAGGUGGUCUGAGCCAGUGUGGGCACAGGAGCUGGAGCACAGGAGGAAGGUAGAUUAGGAUAAUUACCUGGCCACGGGGGAACCAUCAGAAAGAUGUCUCACAACCUGCAGGCCUUGAUCGAAGGAGCAAUAUAAUGAGGUGCGGACACCCUUUGCUCGGAAAGGAAAGAAUAAAGGAAAAUUGAAAAAUUAGUCUCUUAUAAUCGAAAUGUGACAUGUAUUUUUCAUUUCUGUGUGACAGUUAUUGCUCGUUCUGUUUUCUCAAGUUCUCUCCACAACCCUUACAUGUACUGUAUGUUUAUGUAUUUGUUUUAUAGCUGUGCUAGAUGUCUCACACAUAUACCUAAGUCCUAAAUGUCCACACUCACUGAUACUUUGAAGAGCCUAUGAGGUCAGGUUUUAAAUUAUGGUCUGCACCCACUCCAAGCUUUCUCGUCCCACUCCUGUAAAUCCAUUUUCCACACAAUGCAUUUCAAAUCAAAGCAGUGUCGCCAUAACAGGCCUUAGGAAACAUUAAGCCAUAGUGCAGUACUUUCAUGUAUGAUAGCAUAUCCCCUGUAUGCUUUGAUGUGCUCACUUUUUUAAUGCUUUAUUAAUAAUAACACACUUGGUCUUUCUCACACCAACAUCAGCUACUGGUGCUCCUUUCUCUCCUCCUGAACUACACCCCUCACUCCUUCCACCAUGCCUCAGCUUCUGUCUCCCUCCACAGCCCCUGAGCCCUGUCUCAGGAUUGGCCUGUUUGUGUUAGGGAGGGGGAUUAGAGGGAAUGACAUGGGCCUCCAGAUGAAGAGAGUGGCACAGACCUAUCAGAGGGCAGAGAGUAUGGAGCGCUGCAUCACCAUUGGUUGCUGCAGAAAUCAGACACGUCUUUAUUUCUUGCAGCCAUCCUCUCCGAAUAGCCCAGCUUUCAUUUCCACGCCCGGGGAGGGAAGCAGGGCGAGAAAGAGCAGGGGGGUGGGUCAGGAUUAGAGUUUCUGUUUGUACAUUUAAGUGUGUGUGCAUGUGUGUUUUUGCUUGCAUGUUGUGUGCUGCAGUAAACAUCUGAGAGAUACAGAGGGAUGGGCGCUCAGAAACUGAUAGCGCUCACCUCUUCUAAAGCUGAACAAAAUGCAAAUGCUUAAACAGUGUUGUGUUGUUGUAGCUUAAAGGGCUGCCUGAUUCAUAGACAUUUAUAACCUACUUAGGAUACCCAUUUCUCACUCAUUUAUUAUUAUUUCAGCUUUAUCCCAAGAUAUGUUGCAUUAGUGUUGCAGGCAAAGGUACCCUAAAGCACACAUUGUCUGUUCAUUGUGAUGUUUUCCUUUUGACAAUUUCAAGCAUGUCUGCAAUUUACCGGAUCACUUAGUAGCCUAUACCCACAUUCACAUGCGUGUCCACAUUAUGCGCAAACAUCUGCUAAAUUAAUUUCCCUCUUAUGUUUUAUUUUUCUCUCUGUUCCUUUUUGAUACCCUUAUCUUGAUUUUUUUGGUGUUAUUUCAGCAACUCCUGCAGCAGUCUCUAAAGGCAUUCAUAAUGCAAUCUGUGGUUGUAUUUUUUAAUAAUAAUAUGAUCUGCAUGACAUUAAUUUGGCAUAUGUACCAUAGCAUGUAUGCACACCCACCGAUUAGUCAAUGUUUCAUACCCAAAUCUUCCUCUGUUCUUCAGUGUAACUCCUUCCUAUAGUUCUCAUAUGAUGCCUGUUGAGCGUGUUGUGCACCAGACUGUCGUCAGUGUUCGCCUGCUUGUUAGGGUGCAGCCAGUAGACUCUGGCUGUCUGAGCAGUGAUAUGACUGGGGGCAGCGAGGCUGGGUCCUCGCCAAUAAUCUGCGUGGUCUGCAGGCUCUCUGGGGGCACCUGGCUCCCCUCCCCGCCAUUUCUGGCCCGAUCGAUGGCUGAGUCCGUCCCAGCGCAGAGACCAGGGGUCAUCUUCAAAGGCCUCCAGCCCACUUCCUGCCACCUGGUGUUCUGUUUCGGACAGAGGGCACAUUUCCUUUCCACUCCCUCCACCCUCCAUGGCCCUUCUCAGAACAGGUUAAGGACAUGGAGCCCGUACAGCUCGUCUCUGUGAUCCUCACCUCCCCAGUCUCCCCCACGGGGAGAGAGGGUGAGAGAUCAGUCCUAUCCAAACAUCUCAAAAUCACACACCCAUUUGAUGUGAAAAUCUGCUUUUGAUUUAAUCAUGGCUUAGAAUGCAUAUCAUGAACGUUUUUGGUUAUUAAUUGUUACCUUUGUUAACAUUCUACAUUCGUUUUAAGAACUAAAACAGGUGUAACUGGAUACAUUCUCUUAGUAUAGUGCAUCCACACAUUUAUUUUUUAAUUCACUGACAAAAUAACCACAUCAACAAAGAGGCUUAUAUUUCAUUUAUAUUUUAUUAAGACAUGUAUACCAUAAUACAGUAUAAUACAGAAAGGUUUGUGAAGGUAAUGGUGUAUAAUGAUGCAUUAAAUGAAGUGACCUUUUUGGCUCUCACUUGAAACAUGUUUCAUGAUUAACUGAUCAACAGACCUCUUAUGGUAGGAGAAUCUCCAUCUCUCUUUCCCUGUUGGUCAAUUAACAAAUGGCAGGGCUAUCGAACACACAUUUUAUCCCCAUGAGGGCUGUCGGACAAUUAGCUCCAAGAAUACAUAUUAAUCAAUUGCGUUUUUUUGAAUCUGUUUCUUAAGCCUAGCCAUUUUUUUUCCCUCCAAUACAUUAGCAGAUCUCAGUAUGUCCGCUACUCUUGUGAACAGGGAUGAGAAGGAGAUAGAGGGAGAGGAAAUAAAGGUCUGAUGAGUUUGGCAAGGAGAGGAUGGAGGCUGAGACAGAUGGCAUGAAGUCUGCAGCACUCUGGCGUGGCUCGCCUGGUGCUAAAAUCCUCCUCUCUCACAUUCCAACAAAUCCUACCAGGAGGCUGGGGAGUCUGUCACACCACUCCAAGGAUCCACACGGCUCUCUUCAUCCCCCCUCUCCUCCCCCUCCCCUGUCGCCCCAGCCCAACAGAGCCUCUGACCACUCGGUAUCAUAUUUUCAUCCUCACAUAUGUAUACAUUCAUACAUUAACAUGUAUAGAGCUCGACCAUUAAAGGCCUGAUAAGAAGCACCAGGGGGGGGGGGCAGAUAUGACGAAACGCCUUCUCACUGCUCUUAUGAAAAAGGAACCAGGGGAACUAAACUGAGAGAGGUGGCCUUUACUGUCACUCCAGUGUAAGAAAUCGUAUUCACUAAACACUGGGCCAAAUCAUGAAGGACUGUACAAUCCAUUUAUAUCAGAGGAAGAAGACAUAAGAAGCUUUUUGAUUAGUUUCAACACAGCCUGCAUCAGCACAUGCUGAACAGAAACACUGCAGCUGCAAUCUAAAUCCAAACAUUGCUCUGACCCUUUUUUUCUAGGCUCCCCGUGGGCCCUACAACCAAAAAUGGACAAUAAGUGUAACUGUGAUUACACUCAUAGCACUCGACCAACAACUGGAUCAUGGGCUUCACAUGACAUCUUCAUCUCCAAACACUGUACUGUUAGAUAUGCUUUGAAUUUCUCAAGCAUUUAUUUCCUUUGCCAUCUCAAAGUGGUUCAUCUAAUAAGAACAAUCUAAUUUAUUUUACACUUUGCUCUCUCCCCAUGUCUCUUUCUCGCUGUCUUUCUGCCUGCCUUCUGUUUGUUCUAAUGAAUGACUUCUGAGAUGAGGGGCUGCUGUGAGGAGGUCAUGGGGGGCUUCAGAAUCACAUUACUGUUAAUGAUAAU
Gymnodraco acuticeps is the source of this 4267-nucleotide long non-coding RNA. RefSeq lists it as uncharacterized. The record is from RefSeq and is a predicted model, not a curated record. The transcript has 3 exons. Lineage: Eukaryota; Metazoa; Chordata; Actinopteri; Perciformes; Bathydraconidae.